CAUAUAGUUAGGCUUUGCCUGCUAUCUGCUUUAUACCCAUUGUCUUUUUGAGUACUAUUCGUUUCCUCGGCGGGUCUCGCCCUGCCGAGUUGGACAAACUUAUAACCAUUUUAAAUCUUGCAAUCAGCGUCUGUAUAAUUAUAACAUAAUAAUUA
RNAcentral lists this unclassified non-coding RNA (155 nucleotides) under soil metagenome. RNAcentral's name for it is "partial internal transcribed spacer 1". The record is from RNAcentral.